GCAGUGGUGAUUCAGUGGUAGAAUUCUUGCCUUCCAUGCAGGAGACCUGGGUUCAAUUCCUGGCCAGUGCA
This 71-nucleotide transfer RNA is filed under the name Loxodonta africana (African savanna elephant). It matches the Rfam family "tRNA". From Rfam's summary of the family: Transfer RNA (tRNA) molecules are approximately 80 nucleotides in length. Their secondary structure includes four short double-helical elements and three loops (D, anti-codon, and T loops). Further hydrogen bonds mediate the characteristic L-shaped molecular structure. tRNAs have two regions of fundamental functional importance: the anti-codon, which is responsible for specific mRNA codon recognition, and the 3' end, to which the tRNAs corresponding amino acid is attached (by aminoacyl-tRNA synthetases). tRNAs cope with the degeneracy of the genetic code in two manners: having more than one tRNA (with a specific anti-codon) for a particular amino acid; and 'wobble' base-pairing, i.e. permitting non-standard base-pairing at the 3rd anti-codon position. Lineage: Eukaryota; Metazoa; Chordata; Mammalia; Proboscidea; Elephantidae. The record is from Rfam by way of RNAcentral.